Molecule: long non-coding RNA, 269 nt
Organism: Lutra lutra (Eurasian river otter)
Lineage: Eukaryota; Metazoa; Chordata; Mammalia; Carnivora; Mustelidae
Exons: 3
Source: RefSeq, a predicted model, not a curated record
CACUGGCCCCCAAUCCCAGCAGCACCAGGAGGAGAGGAAAUGGUCCCAGAAGAUCCAGCAUCAUCUCUUCUCUGGUGUCCUUGCUGGGGGUCCUGCUGAGGACAGAGGCAGUGGUUAGUCCCAGGCUCAGAGGCUUUUGUCUGCUGUUCCUCUGCCAGGUAUGUCAGCGUGGCCUGCGUGCAGCAGGGAAGGGUUCUGAGCCCUAGGAAAGAGGGAAGGGAAACCUAGGGCUUGGAAGAUACCCUUCUUGUGCACAGUGUGGAUGAGAC